RNAcentral lists this transfer RNA (28 nucleotides) under Elephantopus scaber. RNAcentral's name for it is "partial tRNA-Phe". Lineage: Eukaryota; Viridiplantae; Streptophyta; Magnoliopsida; Asterales; Asteraceae. The record is from RNAcentral.
AGCUCACUUGGAAAAGCAAAGACUGAAA